Molecule: non-coding RNA, 489 nt
Organism: Perognathus longimembris pacificus (Pacific pocket mouse)
Lineage: Eukaryota; Metazoa; Chordata; Mammalia; Rodentia; Heteromyidae
Source: the annotation of a RefSeq genome assembly
AUGGCGACUACACUUCACUACCUGGAUAUAAGAAGUCAAGCUUCACAGACUGCAGAAUUUCUGAAAAUGAGGUGCUCCCCAGGACCAGUGAUUGCACUGCUCUUAUUGUUUGGAGGAAGCAAUGGAGACUCAGUGACUCAGACACAAGGCCAAGUGGCCAUGUUGGAAGGGGCUUCCCUGACUGUGAAUUGCUCCUAUGAAACCAAACAAUACCCCACUCUCUUCUGGUAUGUCCAGUACCAUGGAGAAGGUCCCCAGCUCCUUCUUAAAGUCAGUAAGGCCAAUGAGAUGGGAAGCCACAAAGGAUUUAAAGCCAUGUAUGACCAAGAAGCCACCUCCUUCCACUUGAAGAAAGCCAAAGUCCUAGUGUCUGAUUCCGCUGUGUACUACUGUGCUCUGAGUGACACAGUGACAGAAACCACAUGGGGAGCUGAGCACAAACUGAGCUGCAGUAGGGGCCUGGCUGCUGAGCUCCUGUUCUGGAAGUGA